GACGAACGCUGGCGGCGUGCUUAACACAUGCAAGUCGAACGGAAAGGCCCUGCUUUUGUGGGGUGCUCGAGUGGCGAACGGGUGAGUAACACGUGAGUAACCUGCCCUUGACUUUGGGAUAACUUCAGGAAACUGGGGCUAAUACCGGAUAGGAGCUCCUGCUGCAUGGUGGGGGUUGGAAAGUUUCGGCGGUUGGGGAUGGACUCGCGGCUUAUCAGCUUGUUGGUGGGGUAGCGGCUUACCAAGGCUUUGACGGGUAGCCGGCCUGAGAGGGUGACCGGCCACAUUGGGACUGAGAUACGGCCCAGACUCCUACGGGAGGCAGCAGUGAGGAAUAUUGCACAAUGGGCGGAAGCCUGAUGCAGCAACGCCGCGUGCGGGAUGACGGCCUUCGGGUUGUAAACCGCUUUCGCCUGUGACGAAGCGUGAGUGACGGUAAUGGGUAAAGAAGCACCGGCUAACUACGUG
This 468-nucleotide ribosomal RNA is filed under the name uncultured bacterium. Its description in RNAcentral is "partial 16S ribosomal RNA". It matches the Rfam family "Bacterial small subunit ribosomal RNA", at positions 28 to 507 of the family's 1533-position model. The record is from RNAcentral.